GGGUUCAAAUCCAUCGGAGACAAAAAUACUAGGUGAUUUCUUCCUAUUUGUCAUUGCUUUGGUGGGUAGAGGCAGGUAUCUCAUGGAAAUUAGUUGAGGUGUUGAUUCAGACACCACAGUUAUCCCCAAAAAAAUAAAAUGAUAGGGUUUUGUUUUCCCUUGCAUCAUAAACUGGAGGUUAUAGUUAGUUGGUCAUGUUGGAUUUUUGGAGCUUCUGGCAGUUGCUUAUUAUGUACUGGAGGACCCUUCC
Molecule: unclassified non-coding RNA, 250 nt
Filed under: Hevea brasiliensis (rubber tree)
Lineage: Eukaryota; Viridiplantae; Streptophyta; Magnoliopsida; Malpighiales; Euphorbiaceae
Source: RNAcentral